RNAcentral lists this ribosomal RNA (811 nucleotides) under Stenotrophomonas sp. 4R11-101. RNAcentral's name for it is "bacterial SSU rRNA". It matches the Rfam family "Bacterial small subunit ribosomal RNA", at positions 48 to 849 of the family's 1533-position model. The record is from RNAcentral. Lineage: Bacteria; Pseudomonadati; Pseudomonadota; Gammaproteobacteria; Lysobacterales; Lysobacteraceae.
CUAACACAUGCAAGUCGAACGGCAGUCACAGUAAGAGCUUGCUCUUAUCGGGUGGCGAGUGGCGGACGGGUGAGGAAUACAUCGGAAUCUACUUUUUCGUGGGGGAUAACGUAGGGAAACUUACGCUAAUACCGCAUACGACCUACGGGUGAAAGCAGGGGAUCUUCGGACCUUGCGCGAUUGAAUGAGCCGAUGUCGGAUUAGCUAGUUGGCGGGGUAAAGGCCCACCAAGGCGACGAUCCGUAGCUGGUCUGAGAGGAUGAUCAGCCACACUGGAACUGAGACACGGUCCAGACUCCUACGGGAGGCAGCAGUGGGGAAUAUUGGACAAUGGGCGCAAGCCUGAUCCAGCCAUACCGCGUGGGUGAAGAAGGCCUUCGGGUUGUAAAGCCCUUUUGUUGGGAAAGAAAUCCAGCUGGUUAAUACCCGGUUGGGAUGACGGUACCCAAAGAAUAAGCACCGGCUAACUUCGUGCCAGCAGCCGCGGUAAUACGAAGGGUGCAAGCGUUACUCGGAAUUACUGGGCGUAAAGCGUGCGUAGGUGGUCGUUUAAGUCUGUUGUGAAAGCCCUGGGCUCAACCUGGGAACUGCAGUGGAAACUGGACGACUAGAGUGUGGUAGAGGGUAGCGGAAUUCCUGGUGUAGCAGUGAAAUGCGUAGAGAUCAGGAGGAACAUCCAUGGCGAAGGCAGCUACCUGGACCACACUGACACUGAGGCACGAAAGCGUGGGNGCAACAGGAUUAGAUACCCUGGUAGUNACGCCCUAACGAUGCGAACUGGAUGUGGGGUGCAAUUGGCACGCAGUAUCGA